Molecule: ribosomal RNA, 233 nt
Filed under: uncultured bacterium
Lineage: Bacteria
Description: partial 16S ribosomal RNA
Rfam family: Bacterial small subunit ribosomal RNA
Source: RNAcentral
UAACCUGCCUUGGAGUGGGGAAUAACAGCUGGAAACAGCUGCUAAUACCGCAUGAUGCAGUUGGGUCGCAUGGCUCUGACUGCCAAAAAUUUAUCGCUCUGAGAUGGACUCGCGUCUGAUUAGCUAGUUGGCGGGGCAACGGCCCACCAAGGCGACGAUCAGUAGCCGGACUGAGAGGUUGGCCGGCCACAUUGGGACUGAGACACGGCCCAGACUCCUACGGAAGGCAGCAG